CCAAUAGCGUAUAUUAAAGUUGUUGCAGUUAAAAAGCUCGUAGUUGAAUUUCGGGAUCAAUAUGUCGGUCGUGCCUUCGGUACGUACUGGUAUCAUUGGUCUCUCCUUUCUGACGAACCAUGAUGUCAUUAAUUUGGUGUUAUGGGGAGUUAGGACUGUUACUUUGAAAAAAUUAGAGUGUUUAAAGCAGGCUUUAGCUUGAAUACAUUAGCAUGGAAUAAUGAAAUAGGACGUUCGAACCUAUUUUGUUGGUUUCUAGGAUCAACGUAAUGAUUAAUAGGGAUAGUUGGGGGCAUUAGUAUUCAAUUGUCAGAGGUGAAAUUCUUGGAUUUAUUGAAGACUAACUACUGCGAAAGCAUUUGCCAAGGAUGUUUUCAUUAAUCAAGAACGAAAGUUAGGGGAUCGAAGACGAUCAGAUACCGUCGUAGUCUUAACCAUAAACUAUGCCGACUAGGGAUCGGAUGAUGUUAAUUUUUUAAUGACUCAUUCGGCGCCUUACGGGAAACCAAAGUGUUUGGUUC
Molecule: ribosomal RNA, 521 nt
Filed under: uncultured Glomus
Lineage: Eukaryota; Fungi; Glomeromycota; Glomeromycetes; Glomerales; Glomeraceae
Description: SSU rRNA
Rfam family: Eukaryotic small subunit ribosomal RNA
Source: RNAcentral